RNAcentral lists this ribosomal RNA (497 nucleotides) under uncultured bacterium. Its description in RNAcentral is "partial 16S ribosomal RNA". It matches the Rfam family "Bacterial small subunit ribosomal RNA", at positions 28 to 507 of the family's 1533-position model. The record is from RNAcentral.
GAUGAACGCUGGCGGCGUGCCUAAUACAUGCAAGUCGAGCGAACAGACGAGGAGCUUGCUCCUCUGACGUUAGCGGCGGACGGGUGAGUAACACGUGGAUAACCUACCUAUAAGACUGGGAUAACUUCGGGAAACCGGAGCUAAUACCGGAUAAUAUAUUGAACCGCAUGGUUCAAUAGUGAAAGACGGUUUUGCUGUCACUUAUAGAUGGAUCCGCGCCGCAUUAGCUAGUUGGGAAGGUAACGGCUUACCAAGGCAACGAUGCGUAGCCGACCUGAGAGGGUGAUCGGACACACUGGAACUGAGACACGGUCCAGACUCCUACGGGAGGCAGCAGUAGGGAAUCUUCCGCAAUGGGCGAAAGCUUGACGGAGCAACGCCGCGUGAGUGAUGAAGGUCUUCGGAUCGUAAAACUCUGUUAUUAGGGAAGAACAAAUGUGUAAGUAACUAUGCACGUCUUGACGGUACCUAAUCAGAAAGCCACGGCUAACUACGUG